RNAcentral lists this ribosomal RNA (253 nucleotides) under uncultured bacterium. RNAcentral's name for it is "partial 16S ribosomal RNA". It matches the Rfam family "Bacterial small subunit ribosomal RNA", at positions 524 to 776 of the family's 1533-position model. The record is from RNAcentral.
UACGUAGGGGGCUAGCGUUGUCCGGAAUCAUUGGGCGUAAAGAGCGCGUAGGCGGCCAGAUAAGUCCGGUGUGAAAGUCACAGGCUCAACCUGUGAAUGCCGCUGGAAACUGUCUGGCUAGAGUCCGGAAGGGGCGAGUGGAAUUCCUGGUGUAGCGGUGGAAUGCGCAGAUAUCAGGAGGAACACCGAUGGCGAAGGCAGGUCUCUGGGCCACUACUGACGCUGAGAAGCGAAAGCAUGGGGAGCGAACAGG